UUUAACGGCCGCGGUAUUUUGACCGUGCAAAGGUAGCAUAAUCAUUAGUCUUUUAAUAGGGGGCUGGAAUGAAAGGUUUGACGAGGUUCUGACUGUCUCAUUUAAUUUGAGAUUAGAAUUUAACUUUUCAGUCAAAAGGCUGAAAUAACAUUGGAAGACGAGAAGACCCUAUAGAGCUUUAUAUUUAUGAUUUUGGUUAGCUUUUGUUUAUUAUUGUUACUUAGGGUUUUAAGUAUUUUGUUGGGGUGACAAAAAUAUAUAAUCAACUUUUUUAUUAAUUUUACAUUGAUUUAUGGGCUUAAGAUCCAAUCUUAUUGAUUAUUAGAUUAAGUUACCUUAGGGAUAACAGCGUAAUCUUCCUCCAGAGUUCAUAUUUACAGGGAGGCUUGCGACCUCGAUGUUGGAUUAAGAAAAUAAUUAGGUGUAGCCGCUUAAUAUAUAGGUCUGUUCGACCUUUAAAUUCUUACAUGAUCUGA
RNAcentral lists this ribosomal RNA (476 nucleotides) under Stylogomphus suzukii. RNAcentral describes it as "partial 16S ribosomal RNA". It matches the Rfam family "Bacterial large subunit ribosomal RNA", at positions 1923 to 2608 of the family's 2925-position model. The record is from RNAcentral. Lineage: Eukaryota; Metazoa; Arthropoda; Insecta; Odonata; Gomphidae.